GGAAAAUGCGUAGAGGUAAGAGAGCCGCUACGGUACCAAAACCAAAAGUGCCGGAUGAAAUAUCGGUGCAGGAUGAGGCACCUGCCCCAAGGAAACGGGGUAGGAGACCUAGAGCUGCUCAAGUGGAAGAGCAAUAACCAGAAGUAAAGGAACAGUUCUUUAUGGCCUAGGGUCAUAUGGAUCCAAUGGUAGCCACUCUGGCAGGUCUACAAAGAACAGAGAACUAUAAACAUGAUGGCUCAAUACAU
RNAcentral lists this unclassified non-coding RNA (248 nucleotides) under Hevea brasiliensis (rubber tree). Lineage: Eukaryota; Viridiplantae; Streptophyta; Magnoliopsida; Malpighiales; Euphorbiaceae. The record is from RNAcentral.